RNAcentral lists this ribosomal RNA (373 nucleotides) under uncultured bacterium. RNAcentral's name for it is "bacterial SSU rRNA". It matches the Rfam family "Bacterial small subunit ribosomal RNA", at positions 525 to 896 of the family's 1533-position model. The record is from RNAcentral.
ACGGGGGGUGCAAGCGUUACUCGGAAUCAUUGGGCGUAAAGGGCGCGUAGGCGGCCCGGUAAGUCAGGUGUGAAAGCCCGGGGCUCAACCCCGGAAGUGCAUUUGAUACUGCCAGGCUUGAGUAUGGGAGAGGGAAGUGGAAUUCCUGGUGUAGAGGUGAAAUUCGUAGAUAUCAGGAGGAACACCGGUGGCGAAGGCGACUUCCUGGACCAAUACUGACGCUGAGGCGCGAAGGCGUGGGGAGCAAACAGGAUUAGAUACCCUGGUAGUCCACGCAGUAAACUUUGUUCACUAGGUGUAGCGGGUAUUGACCCCUGCUGUGCCGAAGCUAACGCAUUAAGUGAACCGCCUGGGAAGUACGGCCGCAAGGUUA